Long non-coding RNA from Macaca mulatta (Rhesus monkey), 1903 nucleotides. RefSeq lists it as uncharacterized. The record is from RefSeq and is a predicted model, not a curated record. Lineage: Eukaryota; Metazoa; Chordata; Mammalia; Primates; Cercopithecidae.
UUUGUGACUUGACCAAUUACUACUAUAGAUAACAUCACUAUUGUAGAACCUAAGAAUGGUUUUUUGAGAUACCUUUCAGACUGUUCCCACCCAGACUCAUGACUCAACUGAUCCUGUAGCCCCACCCAGAGGUGGACUCAGCAUAUGAGUACCAUUUUCCACACCCCUAUGAUUUCAUCCUCAGUCAGUAAAGAUCACCCAUUCCCUAGCUAUGAUAUGAGUGCUAACUUCAGUUCUCUCAUGUGGGCCAGCCUCACAUCAAUUAAACCACUUCUCUACUGCAAUGCUGUAGUCUCAGUGGAUUGAUUUUUGUCUAUGCAGUGGGCAGGAAGAACCCAUCUGAUGAUUACAUGACUAAAAUAAGUAAAAGGCACUCUGCACUCAUGCCUUGCUACAGCCAAUACUUAAUAGAGCCACAGGCUAAAAUGUUCUGAAAGUUGUUACUCUUAAUUAGCUCUGUGUGUGGGUGUGUAUGUGUCGAGCAUAGUUUUGUGUUGACUGGAGGGCAGUCAUUCUUUGCUGAUACAAAAUUAACAUUUUUUAAAUCAGCAUUUAUCAGCAUUUAAUUUUUUAAUUAAAAUCAGCAUUUAAUGCUAAUUUUUUAUCAGCUUUAUAAUUUUUUAUCAGCAUUUCUCAGGGUUUACCUAUUUAUUGUUGUUAUAUUUAGGUGCAGAUGUUUGCUGACACAGCCUCAGCCUCAUGGGAGGGACUCAACAAAAUGGAAUUUGUGGUCUCUUCAUUAUAGGCAGAGGGUGAAGAAAAAUGGGCAGCUUAAUAUCAGUCUAAGUUUGUUUAGAUUAUGUGGACUUCUAGAUGGCUUGAGCAAUUGGUUCUGGAGUAUUUAAUGUCAUAUGAUUUACAGCAAUGUCAUAUUCACAGAAGCACUGACAACACCCUAGCUCUUCGUUUCCGAAACCACGAGGUUUCUGGAACACAGGUUAAGAUCAGGCUGAGCCCUGUUCUUAGUCAUAGAGUGGUGUUUUCUCCUUUUUAAUUUUUAAAUGAAAUAAAUCUGUUUUUUCCUAUUCAAGGCAAUUAUAAAUUCAAGACAUCAGACAGCUUCCAGGACUGAGCCUACCUAGAUAAAGUGUGAGGAGGCUGUACAGGAAGCGUGGCUGGGGGAGGCCUCUGGAAAUAUACAACUGUGGCAGGAGGUGAAGGGGAAGCCAUCAUGUCCUACAUGACUGAAGCAAGGGGAAAAGAGAGCAAAUGUAGAAGUGCUACAUACUUUUAAACAAACAGAUCUCGUGAGAAAUCACUCACUAUCACAACAGCAAGAGGGAAACUCACCCCUAUGAUGUAAUCACCCCCUACCAAGUUUCUCCCCCAACAUUGGGAAUUACAAUUCCAUAUGAGAGGAAGAGCAAAUUAGGGUCAAACACCCACUGAGGGAGAAGUAUGAAAGACAAAGGGAAAAGAUGACCAUCCACAAGCCAAGGAGGCACCGCUCAGAAGAAACAGUCCUGCCAACACAUUAAUCUCAGAAGUAUAGCUUUCGUAACUGUGAAAAACCAAAUUUCUGUUGUUUAAGCCACUCAGUCUGUGGUGCUUUGUUACGACAGACCAAGCAAAGGAAUACAUGUGGUAAGUGAAUAAAGGUUUGAUUGUGACUUUUGGUUUAGCUCGCCCUAAUUACCACCUCAACACCUGGUAGCUAAACUGCUUUUGUCUUAAUCGUAUAAAAGGUAUCUUUGGAAGAGCAUUUUUUAUGAAGUCAUAAUUUGUGUUUUUACUUUUAUAUUUCAUGUUUUAUUUAGCCUAUGUAAAAUUUUUUUGCAAGAUCACAAAUUUUUCCUUUUUCUUUUAGAAACUUUAUAGUUUCCAGUUGCACAUUUAGGAAAACUUUUCAUUUGAAGUUAGAUGUGUGCAUGGUGUAAGAUAGGGAGAAUGCUAUUUUUUUUUU